AAGUCGAACGGAUGACAAGAGAGCUUGCUCUCUUGAAGUCAGUGGCGCACGAGUGAGUAACGCGUGGGAAACUGCCCUUCACUGGGGAAUAACGUUUGGAAACGAACGCUAAUACCGCAUACGCCCGCAAGGGGAAAGAUUUAUCGGUGAUGGAUGUGCCCGCGUUGGAUUAGCCAGUUGGUGGGGUAAUGGCCUACCAAAGCAAUGAUCCAUAGCUGGUCUGAGAGGACGAUCAGCCACGCUGGAACUGAGACACGGUCCAGACUCCUACGGGAGGCAGCAGCUAAGAAUAUUGGGCAAUGGAGGAAACUCUGACCCAGCCCAUGCCGCGUGAAUGAAGAAGGCCUUCGGGUUGUAAAGUUCUUUUAGUCAUGAAGAUGAUGACAGUAGUGACAGAAAAAGCACCGGCUAACUUCGUGCCAGCCGCGGC
This 430-nucleotide ribosomal RNA is filed under the name uncultured bacterium. Its description in RNAcentral is "bacterial SSU rRNA". It matches the Rfam family "Bacterial small subunit ribosomal RNA", at positions 59 to 518 of the family's 1533-position model. The record is from RNAcentral.